This 497-nucleotide ribosomal RNA is filed under the name uncultured bacterium. Its description in RNAcentral is "partial 16S ribosomal RNA". It matches the Rfam family "Bacterial small subunit ribosomal RNA", at positions 28 to 507 of the family's 1533-position model. The record is from RNAcentral.
GAUGAACGCUGGCGGCGUGCCUAAUACAUGCAAGUCGAGCGAACGGACGAGAAGCUUGCUUUUCUGAUGUUAGCGGCGGACGGGUGAGUAACACGUGGAUAACCUACCUAUAAGACUGGGAUAACUUCGGGAAACCGGAGCUAAUACCGGAUAAUAUUUUGAACCGCAUGGUUCAAAAGUGAAAGACGGUCUUGCUGUCACUUAUCGAUGGAUCCGCGCUGCAUUAGCUAGUUGGUAAGGUAACGGCUUACCAAGGCAACGAUGCAUAGCCGACCUGAGAGGGUGAUCGGCCACACUGGAACGGAGACACGGUCCAGACUCCUACGGGAGGCAGCAGUAGGGAAUCUUCCGCAAUGGGCGAAAGCCUGACGGAGCAACGCCGCGUGAGUGAUGAAGGUCUUCGGAUCGUAAAACUCUGUUAUUAGGGAAGAACAUAUGUGUAAGUAACUGUGCACAUCUUGACGGUACCUAAUCAGAAAGCCACGGCUAACUACGUG